This 515-nucleotide ribosomal RNA is filed under the name uncultured archaeon. RNAcentral's name for it is "bacterial SSU rRNA". It matches the Rfam family "Archaeal small subunit ribosomal RNA", at positions 345 to 859 of the family's 1478-position model. The record is from RNAcentral.
AACCUUUACACUGCACGCCAGUGCGAUAAGGGGAUCCCGAGUGCGCAGGCAUAGAGCCUGCGCUUUUCUGAACCGUAGGAAGGUUCAGGAACAAGAGCUGGGCAAGACCGGUGCCAGCCGCCGCGGUAAUACCGGCAGCUCGAGUGAUGGCCGAUCUUAUUGGGCCUAAAGCGUCCGUAGCUGGCCUUGCAAGUCCGUCGGGAAAUCCACCCGCUCAGCGGGUGGGCGUCCGGCGGAAACUGCAAGGCUUGGGACCGGGAGGCUUGAAGGGUACGUCCGGGGUAGGAGUGAAAUCCCGUAAUCCUGGACGGACCGCCGAUGGGGAAACCACUUCAAGAGAACGGAUCCGACAGUGAGGGACGAAAGCUAGGGUCUCGAACCGGAUUAGAUACCCGGGUAGUCCUAGCUGUAAACGAUGCCUGUUAGGUGUGACUCCCACUACGAGUGGGUGUUGUGCCGUAGGGAAGCCGCUAAACAGGCCGCCUGGAAAGUACGUCUGCAAGGAUGAAACUUAA